UACGUAGGGGGCAAGCGUUAUCCGGAUUUACUGGGUGUAAAGGGAGCGUAGACGGCAUGGCAAGCCAGAUGUGAAAGCCCGUGGCUCAACCACGGAACUGCAUUUAAAACUGGAUUGCUAGAGUACAGGAGGGGUAAGCGGAAUUUCUAGUGUAGCGGUGGAAUGCUUAGAUAUUAGGAAGAACACCAGAGGCGAAGGCGGCUUACUGGACUGCAACUGACACUGAGGCUCGAAAGCGUGGGGAGCAAACAGG
RNAcentral lists this ribosomal RNA (253 nucleotides) under uncultured Lachnospiraceae bacterium. RNAcentral's name for it is "partial 16S ribosomal RNA". It matches the Rfam family "Bacterial small subunit ribosomal RNA", at positions 524 to 776 of the family's 1533-position model. The record is from RNAcentral. Lineage: Bacteria; Bacillati; Bacillota; Clostridia; Lachnospirales; Lachnospiraceae.